Molecule: ribosomal RNA, 1294 nt
Filed under: Ectopseudomonas oleovorans AD6
Lineage: Bacteria; Pseudomonadati; Pseudomonadota; Gammaproteobacteria; Pseudomonadales; Pseudomonadaceae
Description: bacterial LSU rRNA
Rfam family: Bacterial large subunit ribosomal RNA
Source: RNAcentral
GGUUAGGUAGAGAAUACCAAGGCGCUUGAGAGAACUCGGGUGAAGGAACUAGGCAAAAUGGCACCGUAACUUCGGGAGAAGGUGCGCCGGUGAGGGUGAAGCAUUUACUGCGUAAGCCCAUGCCGGUCGAAGAUACCAGGCCGCUGCGACUGUUUAUUAAAAACACAGCACUCUGCAAACACGAAAGUGGACGUAUAGGGUGUGACGCCUGCCCGGUGCCGGAAGGUUAAUUGAUGGGGUUAGCGCAAGCGAAGCUCUUGAUCGAAGCCCCGGUAAACGGCGGCCGUAACUAUAACGGUCCUAAGGUAGCGAAAUUCCUUGUCGGGUAAGUUCCGACCUGCACGAAUGGCGUAACGAUGGCGGCGCUGUCUCCACCCGAGACUCAGUGAAAUUGAAAUCGCUGUGAAGAUGCAGUGUAUCCGCGGCUAGACGGAAAGACCCCGUGAACCUUUACUAUAGCUUUGCACUGGACUUUGAGCUUGCUUGUGUAGGAUAGGUGGGAGGCUUUGAAGUGGGGACGCCAGUUCUCAUGGAGCCAACCUUGAAAUACCACCCUGGCAACCUUGAGGUUCUAACUCUGGUCCGUUAUCCGGAUCGAGGACAGUGUAUGGUGGGUAGUUUGACUGGGGCGGUCUCCUCCCAAAGAGUAACGGAGGAGUACGAAGGUGCGCUCAGACCGGUCGGAAAUCGGUCGUAGAGUAUAAAGGCAAAAGCGCGCUUGACUGCGAGACAGACACGUCGAGCAGGUACGAAAGUAGGUCUUAGUGAUCCGGUGGUUCUGUAUGGAAGGGCCAUCGCUCAACGGAUAAAAGGUACUCCGGGGAUAACAGGCUGAUACCGCCCAAGAGUUCAUAUCGACGGCGGUGUUUGGCACCUCGAUGUCGGCUCAUCACAUCCUGGGGCUGAAGCCGGUCCCAAGGGUAUGGCUGUUCGCCAUUUAAAGUGGUACGCGAGCUGGGUUUAGAACGUCGUGAGACAGUUCGGUCCCUAUCUGCCGUGGACGUUUGAGAUUUGAGAGGGGCUGACCUUAGUACGAGAGGACCGGGUUGGACGAACCUCUGGUGUUCCGGUUGUCACGCCAGUGGCAUUGCCGGGUAGCUAUGUUCGGAAAAGAUAACCGCUGAAAGCAUCUAAGCGGGAAACUUGCCUCAAGAUGAGAUCUCACUGGAGCCUUGAGCUCCCUAAAGGGCCGUCGAAGACUACGACGUUGAUAGGUUGGGUGUGUAAGCGCUGUGAGGCGUUGAGCUAACCAAUACUAAUUGCCCGUGAGGCUUGACCAUAUAACACCCAAACA